UUAUCAAGUCUCUUGUGAAAUCUAAUGGCUUAACCAUUAAACUGCUUGGGAAACUGAUAGUCUAGAGUGAGGGAGAGGCAGAUGGAAUUGGUGGUGUAGGGGUAAAAUCCGUAGAUAUCACCAAGAAUACCCAUUGCGAAGGCGAUCUGCUGGAACUCAACUGACGCUAAGGCGCGAAAGCGUGGGGAGCAAACAGGAUUAGAUACCCUGGUAGUCCACGCCCUAAACGAUGUACACUAGUUGUUGGGAUGCUAGUCAUCUCAGUAAUGCAGCUAACGCAUUAAGUGUACCGCCUGGGGAGUACGGUCGCAAGAUUAAAACUCAAAGGAAUAGACGGGGACCCGCACAAGCGGUGGAGCAUGUGGUUUAAUUCGAAGAUACGCGAAGAACCUUACCUGGGCUUGAUAUCCUAAGAACCUUUUAGAGAUAAGAGGGUGCUAGCUUGCUAGAACUUAGAGACAGGUGCUGCACGGCUGUCGUCAGCUCGUGUCGUGAGAUGUUGGGUUAAGUCCCGCAACGAGCGCAACCCACGUAUUUAGUUGCUAACGGUUCGGCCGAGCACUCUAAAUAGACUGCCUUCGUAAGGAGGAGGAAGGUGUGGACGACGUCAAGUCAUCAUGGCCCUUAUGCCCAGGGCGACACACGUGCUACAAUGGCAUAUACAAUGAGACGCAAUACCGCGAGGUGGAGCAAAUCUAUAAAAUAUGUCCCAGUUCGGAUUGUUCUCUGCAACUCGAGAGCAUGAAGCCGGAAUCGCUAGUAAUCGUAGAUCAGCCAUGCUACGGUGAAUACGUUCCCGGGUCUUG
This 806-nucleotide ribosomal RNA is filed under the name uncultured Campylobacter sp. RNAcentral describes it as "bacterial SSU rRNA". It matches the Rfam family "Bacterial small subunit ribosomal RNA", at positions 580 to 1383 of the family's 1533-position model. The record is from RNAcentral. Lineage: Bacteria; Pseudomonadati; Campylobacterota; Epsilonproteobacteria; Campylobacterales; Campylobacteraceae.